CUCCUCCCUCGCUCUCCCCCCUUCACUCUUUCUCUUCCUCCCUCCCACCUCCCUCGCUCCCUCCCUCCCUGCUGCAUUUUGCAUGAGCUAUCUAGGUCAUUAGCAUUUUAGCGUAUGCAAGACUUGACAAAGCUGAUGAGGGGCCAGAUGGGCCUCGCUCUUAUGAGUUUUUUUUCUUUUUUUUUUUUUUUUUUUUUCCUUUUCCUUUUUCCCCUCCACCACUUGGGACCUGAGCGAGAGGACUGCAGCAGGCGAGUUCCGGAAGGCUGACUGCCCAGAUCCCGGCCCCGGCCCGCGGCAGCGGCCCCCGCGGCACGCCCGGCCGGGCUGCGCCUGGACUCCGUGAGCAAGAGACGGCCCAGGCCCAGAUCUCUGUUUAAGCGGAAAGAAAUUGAUCCUUUAACAAAGACAAAGAUGAGACUUCCCAGAAGAGGUGGCAUUGAGCUGGGCCUGAAAGGGCAGAUGAAUUUCAACAUGUAAAGAAGAGGAAGAAGGACAUUAAAGACAGAGGGAAGAACAUGAAAUGUCCACAGGCAGUGAAGUACCCAUAGGUUCAUGAUGCUGGGCUAAUCUCUAUGCCUGAAAGU
Molecule: long non-coding RNA, 587 nt
Filed under: Equus asinus (donkey)
Lineage: Eukaryota; Metazoa; Chordata; Mammalia; Perissodactyla; Equidae
Description: lncRNA (ENSEASG00005016379.2)
Source: RNAcentral